This 505-nucleotide long non-coding RNA is filed under the name Marmota monax (woodchuck). Lineage: Eukaryota; Metazoa; Chordata; Mammalia; Rodentia; Sciuridae. The record is from RNAcentral.
GGACUAUUAAUACUCAAAGGAAUAAAAGCAGCAAAGGGAGUGUUUGGAAUUUCUCCCAAUAAAAUUAUUACUCCAUAUACUAUGAAUCAAAUUGAUGAGUUAGCUAAUGAGUUAAAUACUUGGGCAAUAAUCAUGUGUAAAUCUAAUGUUUCAUUUGAUAAUCACUUACCAUCUAAUCCUUUGUUGUCUUUUUGGUCUUCGCAUCCUGUAGUUUUUCCAAAAAUGACAAGAAAAACACCUAUCAUGAAUGCUCCAAAUAUAUUCACUGAUGGGUCAAAUAAUGGUACAGCAGCAGUAGUUACUCCUGAUCAAACUUUUACAUUUUUAGUACCCAAACAAUCAGCUCAAAAGGUAGAGCUUAAUGCAGUAUUACAAGCUUUUGUGAUGUUUAAAGAUUCUGUAUUUAAUUUAUUUUCUGAUAGUCAGUAUAUAGUUAAUGCUAUAGUAUCCCUUGAAGAUGCUGGCAGGAUUUCCCCUUCCUCUACUGUUUUCUCUUUGUUUUCUG